UACGUAGGGCGCAAGCGUUGUCCGGAAUUAUUGGGCGUAAAGAGCUCGUAGGCGGCUUGUCACGUCGGGUGUGAAAGCCCGGGGCUUAACCCCGGGUCUGCAUUCGAUACGGGCUGGCUGGAGUGUGGUAGGGGAGAUCGGAAUUCCUGGUGUAGCGGUGAAAUGCGCAGAUAUCAGGAGGAACACCGGUGGCGAAGGCGGAUCUCUGGGCCAUUACUGACGCCGAGGAGCGAAAGCGUGGGGAGCGAACAGG
Molecule: ribosomal RNA, 253 nt
Filed under: uncultured bacterium
Lineage: Bacteria
Description: partial 16S ribosomal RNA
Rfam family: Bacterial small subunit ribosomal RNA
Source: RNAcentral